RNAcentral lists this long non-coding RNA (243 nucleotides) under Lepisosteus oculatus (spotted gar). RNAcentral's name for it is "lncRNA (ENSLOCG00000022809.1)". The record is from RNAcentral. Lineage: Eukaryota; Metazoa; Chordata; Actinopteri; Semionotiformes; Lepisosteidae.
UACAAGGGAGUUGUUCAGUAAUGUGGCAGUGACUGCGUAUAACCAUUCUUUUCCAUUAGAUACAUCGAAAAAAACAUCACAGGUUGUGGGUUCGACAGCUGUCAAAAGACCAUUUAUGGCAAUACCCAGCAACGCUGAACCCGAACCUUCAAAAAAUAAACCACUAUGGACUGCGAAGACGUCAACCGAAACAGCAAACUCAAAACGUUUCAAAUCAGCAACCAAAAGUUAAUAUAAUUUAAG